AGAUUCAAGUUCAAUGUUACUAUGAGAGAGCCAUGUCAUCAUGCAGCAAGCUCCAUCAGAAGGCACUUUUACCCUGCUGUAAUCACAUUUUAUCAGACGUAUGUAAUAAAGUCCUAACAAUUAGACCACAAUUCAAGAAGGAUAUUGACAAGUUAGAAGAGAAGGGCAACCAAAAUGAUCAAAGGUUUAGAAACCAAGCCCUAUGAGGAACAACUUAGUUAGUUGGGUACUUUUAACUUGGAGAAAAGAAGGCUGGGAAUGAAUAUGAUAGCCAUGUUUAAAUAUUUGAAAUGAUUCUUCAUUGAGGAGGAGGAGGCAAGACUAGGAUAUGGAACAAUGAAUUCAAACUGCAAAAAAGAUUCCACCUAAAUAUUAGGAAGAAUUUUAUUGUGGUUGAUGGUAAGAGCUGUUCAGCAAUGGAAUAUACUGCUUCGGGACAUGGUGGAGUCUUCUUCUCUUGGGGUUUUUAUGCAAAGGUUGGAUGGCCAUCUGUCAAAUGUGCUUUGAUUGUGUUAUAGCAAGUGGUUGGACUGGAUAGCCCUUGUAUUCUUUUCUAAUUCUAUGAUUCUAUGAAAUAAUAAAAGGAUAGUAAAGAAAACUAUCCAGUUACAGAGUUAAAUAGACCAAAUGCCAAUAAUGAAGAUACAUACACACGAGAAUUUGGGAUAUUAUCUCAGGUUUCAGUAACGACAUGCAGAGAUCAUUAAAUCUUAAUGCAUUAUUAUUGCAUUUCUAACUUCAAUGACUUUAAACAAUUAUAAGACUUUAAGACUGUGAAAGAACCCAGAUGAAUGAUUUAUUAGGCAUAAAUUAAGACUUCUCUCUAGUGGCCAACUAAGAUGAGGAGCAACAGACAUCAUGCCAUGCUCGUGGAUGAUGAAGUGAAAAUCUGCUGCUCACAGAGUUAAAUAUUCCAAUUGCCAAAUGAUCUCAAAAGCCCUGACCCUUAGAAUUUCUUGUUGGUGGUGCUAUUAAUAUAUUUCUUAACAGUAGUGGCUGUGGCAUUGGCAUCUACCCUGUGUGAUUUGAUAAGAACACUUAUGCUUCUUCUUCUGAUCUUAGUAUAUGGAAUGCCCCUUAUGUUGGACCACAGGAACAAGGCAUGAACAUCAUAUAUAAAACAUGAGAAGGCUAGAUCAUCAAGUUUGCAGACGACACCAAACUGGGAGGGAUAGCUAAUGUGAGGAGAAGCCAUAGGGAGAAGGGAGCAAGCUUGUUUUCUGCUGCCCUGGAGACUAGGACAUGGAACAAUGGCUUCAAACCACAGGAAAGGAGAUUUCACCUGAACAUUAGGAAGAACUUCCUCACUGUGUGAGAGAGAGAGCUGUUCAGCAGUGGAACUCUCUGCCCCGGAAUGCGGUGGAGGCUCCUUCUUUGGAGGCUUUAAGCAGAGGCUAGAUGAUCAUCUGUCAGGGUGCACUGAAUGCAAUUUUCCUGCUUCUUGGCAGGGGAUUUGACUGGAUGGCCCAUGAGGUCUCUUCCAACUCUAUGAUUCUAUGAAUGGCUUACAUCCAUCCUAAGCAUUCUUACUUAUUUUGGCAUCCCUCCACAGCAAGGAAAGCUCUUGUCUUUCAUUUGACAUGAGAUUGCUAUACUGACCUAUACUUGAUGAUAAAUGAUUGGCAGGGGUAUGAGGGACAAUUUUGACGUGGUGGGCUGUGACAGAAAUGGGAGACAUAUGAGGUUUAGGUCAUGGACACUACUAAAAUGAUUUACUAAGGAAAAACUUAGGGGGAAAAUUAUCAUGGGGACAAUGCUUUCAUUUGUCAUCCAUCUUUUGAAAAAAAAUAGACUAAUACUUUUAUGUGCAUAUUUUUUCUUGGCAGAAACAUGUUCAUCAGCAUCUCUGUUUAAUACAUUUUGGAGAACAAUUUUUUUUCUCAGUGCAUAUAUUUUUAUGUGAUUUUUCCUAAUGUGUACAUUUAUAUUUAAUUCUAAAUUCCUAUUUUAAAAAAAAAAUGAAAAAAAUUCACAGCCAGUCCUACAUGGGAGGGAUUUGUUUUGAGAAACAGACAUGCAUUGGUACUGCUAGCAGAUCAACUGGCUGCUUUCAUCAUAUGGUUUAACAAUCUGGAGGACGCCUGCUCUCGAUCACUGUUUGGUACCAUGGGUUUUGAUGCCGUCUCUCAUCAGUCCAUACCUAUGUUUUAAGUCCAAGUGUCCUCUCAGCUUCACGUUUGCCUUGUUGCAAUGAGGGAGAAGGACUUCUUUGCAAUAGAUUCCAUUCAUAAAAUUAUCUAAAAUAAUUUAUAUCAUUGCCUUCAUGCUAUGUGUAUAAUAUGUAUAUGAAACAUAAAUAAAAUUUGCAUUUAGA
Anolis carolinensis (green anole) is the source of this 2314-nucleotide long non-coding RNA. RefSeq lists it as uncharacterized. The transcript is spliced from 2 exons. Lineage: Eukaryota; Metazoa; Chordata; Lepidosauria; Squamata; Anolidae. The record is from RefSeq and is a predicted model, not a curated record.